UACGGAGGGUGCGAGCGUUGUCCGGAAUCACUGGGCGAAAGGGCGCGUAGGCGGCGCGGGAAGUCAUCGGUGAAAGUUCAGGGCUCAACUCUGAAUCGGCCGGUGAUACUCUCGUGCUCGAGCACUGUAGAGGCAGGUGGAAUUCCGGGUGUAGCGGUGGAAUGCGUAGAGAUCCGGAAGAACACCGGUGGCGAAGGCGGCCUGCUGGGCAGUAGCUGACGCUGAUGCGCGACAGCGUGGGGAGCAAACAGG
Molecule: ribosomal RNA, 252 nt
Filed under: uncultured bacterium
Lineage: Bacteria
Description: partial 16S ribosomal RNA
Rfam family: Bacterial small subunit ribosomal RNA
Source: RNAcentral